Grus americana (Whooping crane) is the source of this 1106-nucleotide long non-coding RNA. RefSeq lists it as uncharacterized. Lineage: Eukaryota; Metazoa; Chordata; Aves; Gruiformes; Gruidae. The record is from RefSeq and is a predicted model, not a curated record. The transcript is spliced from 3 exons.
UCUAUCACCAUUGUUUUUUCAGAAACCCCAAAUCCUGCAGAGUUGUUUUGGAUUAAGAGGGAGGAAAAGGAUGAUUCUCUUGUCUAAAUGCCAGGAUCAGUAUCCACUGAAUGACAAUUCUUGUAGUCCUACGGUCUGACAUCAUAUGUCCAAGCAACUUGUGGGAAAUAAUGGAAGGAGCUUUUUAAAGGCUGCAGAGAGGUGACGGCCUGGAAAAAGCUAGUUAAAGUAUAGGCAGACAUACCCCAGAGUUGUGGCACCCAUUAAUAGAUCAAGCCAGCCUGCGCAGCUGUGUUUUGAUCAGCGGAAAGGUUUCCUGGCAUCCAAGAACUGAAAUCACCUUUUGGGUUUGACAAGUGCAUCUAAGUAUCUAGCAAGUGAAAAUCAAGGGUUUCUGUAAGGAAGGAGUAAGAACACCUACUACAAAAAUUAAAAGUAAAAUAACCUUUAAUAACUGCAACAAUGCAAACUCAAUUGUAUGUAUUGCUCUCAGUUGGCAUUUAGCCAUCCAUCAUUUGCUAGCUCAUAAAGCUGAUUUGUGCUCUCCCUUCCCGUCCCUGUUUCCAGGAGCUGUUGGCCUCUCUUCACCACCCCUUUCCCAUAGGCACAUAGAACUGAGACCCAAACACUCUUUUGUCUCUUCCUCUGGAACGCCGCUUUUUAUCACAUGGGGAAAGGGCGAGUUUUGUGAGCAGCUUGCUUUCUUUUUUGUUGUUGAAUGCCACUUAUAAACGCUGUUGAUAGACACUUGGAAGGUAUCUAAAAUGCUAGACAAGGAAACAGGUAUAAUUCAGAUUGAAUAGGGUCAAAAUGCUUCAACCACCUCUUUCAUUUGAAACACCUCAUUUACAGGCUCACACUUCUUUCAUUGUAGCUUAGGGUUGACAUAAAUAUAUGUGGGUUCUGUGCUAGUCUUAAGAAGUUCAGCUAGAUUUAGUGAAUUCCAUGACUAAUCAAACUCCUUGUGAAGAACACAGAACAAUUUCUCCCCACAAAAAGCUGUAACACCAAAAUUGUUGAGAGCAUCAAAAUUUAUUUUCAGAAGUCUGGUUUGGGUAUUUCCCCAAAUAUUAGCAUCUAGCCAACAAGUUAAAGCUCCAACUUCC